This 337-nucleotide ribosomal RNA is filed under the name Prosopochrysa vitripennis. RNAcentral describes it as "partial 16S ribosomal RNA". Lineage: Eukaryota; Metazoa; Arthropoda; Insecta; Diptera; Stratiomyidae. The record is from RNAcentral.
UCUUUUAAUUGAAGGCUUGUAUGAAUGGUUGAACGUAAUAUUAACUGUCUCAAUUUAAUUGUUAAAAUUUUAUAUUUUAGUCAAAAAGCUAAAAUAUUAUUAAAAGACGAGAAGACCCUAUAGAUCUUUAUAAUUUAUUAAUUAAUUUUAUAUAGUAUAAUUAAAAUUUAAUUAAAAUAAUUAUUUUAUUGGGGUGAUAAUAAGAUUUGAUAAACUCUUAUAGAUUAAUACAUAAAUUAAUGAAAUUUUGAUCCAUUAUUAAUGAUUAGUAGAUUAAGUUACCUUAGGGAUAACAGCGUAAUUUUUUUAGAGAGUUCAUAUCGAUAAAAAAGAUUGC